RNAcentral lists this ribosomal RNA (253 nucleotides) under uncultured bacterium. RNAcentral describes it as "partial 16S ribosomal RNA". It matches the Rfam family "Bacterial small subunit ribosomal RNA", at positions 524 to 776 of the family's 1533-position model. The record is from RNAcentral.
UACGAAGGGUGCAAGCGUUACUCGGAAUUACUGGGCGUAAAGCGCACGUAGGCGGCUUCUUAAGUCAGGGGUGAAAUCCUGGAGCUCAACUCCAGAACUGCCUUUGAUACUGAGAAGCUUGAGUCCGGGAGAGGUGAGUGGAACUGCGAGUGUAGAGGUGAAAUUCGUAGAUAUUCGCAAGAACACCAGUGGCGAAGGCGGCUCACUGGCCCGGUACUGACGCUGAGGUGCGAAAGCGUGGGGAGCAAACAGG